GCCCUGGUGGCACAAUGGUUAAGCGUUCGGCUGCUAAUAGAAAGGUCGUAGGUUUGAACCUACCCAGUGGG
This 71-nucleotide transfer RNA is filed under the name Loxodonta africana (African savanna elephant). It matches the Rfam family "tRNA". From Rfam's summary of the family: Transfer RNA (tRNA) molecules are approximately 80 nucleotides in length. Their secondary structure includes four short double-helical elements and three loops (D, anti-codon, and T loops). The record is from Rfam by way of RNAcentral. Lineage: Eukaryota; Metazoa; Chordata; Mammalia; Proboscidea; Elephantidae.